This 407-nucleotide ribosomal RNA is filed under the name uncultured bacterium. RNAcentral's name for it is "partial 16S ribosomal RNA". It matches the Rfam family "Bacterial small subunit ribosomal RNA", at positions 29 to 526 of the family's 1533-position model. The record is from RNAcentral.
AUUGAACGCUGGCGGCAGGCUUAACACAUGCAAGUCGAGCGGAGCGGCGGACGGGUGCGUAAUGCCUAGGCGUCUGCCUGGUAGUGGGGGCUAACGUCCGAGCACGGGCGCUAAUGUCGCAUACUAUCAGAUGAGCCUAGGUCGGAUUCGCUAGUUGGUGGGGUAAGGGCCGACCAAGGCGACGAUGCGUAACUGGUCUGAGAGGAUGAUCAGUCACACUGGAACUGAUACACGGGCCAGACUCCUCCGGGAGGUAGCAGUGGGGGAUGUGGGACAAUGGGCGAAAGCCUGAUACGGCCAUGGCGCGGGUGUGAAGAAGGGCAUCGGGUUGUAAAGCACGUUAAGCUGGGAGGCGGUAUCAACAGAAUAAGCACCGGCUAACUACGUGCCAGCAGCCGCGGUAAUUC